GAAAUGCGAUAAGUAGUGUGAAUUGCAGAAUUCAGUGAAUCAUCGAAUCUUUGAACGCACAUUGCGCCCCUUGGUAUUCCAUGGGGCAUGCCUGUUCGAGCGUCAUUUACCCCCUCAAGCUCUGCUUGGUGUUGGGCGUCUGUCCCGCCUUUUGCGCGCGGACUCGCCCCAAAAGCAUUGGCAGCGGUCGUGCCAGCCUCUCGCGCAGCAGUUUGCGCUCGGUGAGGUUUCUAGGCGGAUCCGCGUCCACAAAGCCCACAUACCCAAUGUUUGACCUCGGAUCAGGUAGGGAUACCCGCUGAACUUAA
Molecule: unclassified non-coding RNA, 308 nt
Filed under: uncultured Dothideomycetes
Lineage: Eukaryota; Fungi; Ascomycota; Dothideomycetes
Description: sequence contains ITS1
Rfam family: 5.8S ribosomal RNA (bases 1-105)
Source: RNAcentral